AAAGUGUUCAAAUUAAAUCGUGCAAAAUGGAUUGUGUUCCUGGUGGAUCCGACACAAACGUAAUAAAAUGCACGAACGAAGAAAUAUUUAAUAUUAUGAAAACAAAGAUGAAGGAUAGCGUGUCAGAACAAAUCGAAAUUUUAGAAG
This is a non-coding RNA of Nylanderia fulva, 147 nucleotides long. Lineage: Eukaryota; Metazoa; Arthropoda; Insecta; Hymenoptera; Formicidae. The record is from RefSeq and is a predicted model, not a curated record.